CUCUUUGUCAUGUCAUGGUGUCAUAUUUGCCCAAGUAAUCAUUUUAUGAGCAAGUGGCGACAUCAUGGAGGUAAAGCUCACUUAUUCCAUCAUUAAACUGCACAGCUGCAGUACUACAGCCAGGCCCGCAGAUGAGGGGCUUCAGUUACCACUGUCUGCACGAGCGCAGUACCUACUCUCUGCCUGCGGGGGUCGUCUUUCCCCACCGCUCGUCUAGUGUGUCCGAAUUGGGCCAACGUUUUUAGUAUGUAGGAGUAGGAUCUAGCAGUAGCACGUAGCAGUAGCAUGUAGUAUCCGAGCGGGCAGUUCGGACGCAGCAAUAAGCUGCGUCCGAAUUGCCAAGUAGUAGUCGAAGUAGAAGUCGAAGUAGUAUCUAGCAUGUCCGAAUUGGCCACCGGAGCGAGUAGCAUGCUACUUCAGAUACUACUUCAGAUACUAGACACGCCCACAUUGUAGGUUGGUCUCGGUGCAUCCUACGGGCAUGCUACUGACCCAAAAUGCACCACGGGCUUCUUCUUCGUCCUCUUAAAAGUUGUAGAAGCGCAUGUGAUGCUAGCGCCACCAGCUGCUCUGCCUAUUUAAAUGUAUCGCGAACGCCGGCUGGCCACAACAGCGCGCACCAUGUCGCGGGACCGCA
RNAcentral lists this long non-coding RNA (637 nucleotides) under Xyrichtys novacula (pearly razorfish). The record is from RNAcentral. Lineage: Eukaryota; Metazoa; Chordata; Actinopteri; Labriformes; Labridae.